GAUCCUGUAGCUCAGCCUGGUUUAGAGCACCGCUCUUAUAAGGCGGGGGUCCUGGGUUCAAAUCCCAGCAGGAUCA
This 76-nucleotide transfer RNA is filed under the name Candidatus Pacearchaeota archaeon. RNAcentral describes it as "tRNA-Ile". It matches the Rfam family "tRNA". From Rfam's summary of the family: Transfer RNA (tRNA) molecules are approximately 80 nucleotides in length. Their secondary structure includes four short double-helical elements and three loops (D, anti-codon, and T loops). Further hydrogen bonds mediate the characteristic L-shaped molecular structure. tRNAs have two regions of fundamental functional importance: the anti-codon, which is responsible for specific mRNA codon recognition, and the 3' end, to which the tRNAs corresponding amino acid is attached (by aminoacyl-tRNA synthetases). tRNAs cope with the degeneracy of the genetic code in two manners: having more than one tRNA (with a specific anti-codon) for a particular amino acid; and 'wobble' base-pairing, i.e. permitting non-standard base-pairing at the 3rd anti-codon position. The record is from RNAcentral. Lineage: Archaea; Nanobdellati.